AUGUCGGACGAGGCGGCGAGCCCCCCGGGCGGCGGCGGCGGCGGAGGAGGCGGCGGCAGCGACGACGGCGGCGGCGGCGGCGGCUUCGGCGGCGUCAGGGAGCAGGACAGGUUCCUGCCCAUCGCCAACAUCAGCCGCAUCAUGAAGAAGGCCAUCCCGGCCAACGGCAAGAUCGCCAAGGACGCCAAGGAGACCGUGCAGGAGUGCGUCUCCGAGUUCAUCUCCUUCAUCACCAGCGAGGCGAGCGACAAGUGCCAGAGGGAGAAGCGCAAGACCAUCAACGGCGACGACCUGCUCUGGGCGAUGGCCACGCUGGGCUUCGAGGAGUACAUCGAGCCCCUCAAGGUUUAUCUGCAGAAGUACAGAGAGACGGAGGGUGAUAGUAAGCUAGCUGGGAAGUCUGGUGAUGUCUCUGUUAAAAAGGAUGCACUGGGUCCUCAUGGAGGAGCAAGUGGCACAAGUGCGCAAGGGAUGGGCCAACAAGUAGCAUACAAUCCAGGAAUGGUUUAUAUGCAACCUCAGUACCAUAAUGGGGACAUCUCAAACUGA
This 549-nucleotide ribosomal RNA is filed under the name Triticum aestivum (bread wheat). RNAcentral's name for it is "partial small subunit ribosomal RNA". Lineage: Eukaryota; Viridiplantae; Streptophyta; Magnoliopsida; Poales; Poaceae. The record is from RNAcentral.